Molecule: long non-coding RNA, 784 nt
Organism: Camelus dromedarius (Arabian camel)
Lineage: Eukaryota; Metazoa; Chordata; Mammalia; Artiodactyla; Camelidae
Exons: 7
Source: RefSeq, a predicted model, not a curated record
AAUGGGAGGAGAGCUGAAUCCGCAUAAACCUCCUAGGCCUUAUGGGAACUCUUGGUAAGGAAUCUUUGAAGCAAUAACUAAACGCUCUAAUGCCCCAACAAGAGUCAGUCCUCUAACUGGUGGAGAUGGGAUAUUUUCCAGAGAAGACAGGAAAUCCUCACAAGGGUCUGGGGGGGAAGGGGAAGACCUGCGCCUCGUCCUGUUCAAGGCGGUAAUUGCUAGCCCUCAAGGAGGAUCGGGGGCCCUGCAUGCCUGCACCACGGAGGAGAUUCUCAACAUUCUUCUGCAGCUGUAGCCCGCUACUGCUCGUUUCUAGAGGUGAUGGAUUUUGCCUAGGCCCUGUUUCCUGUCAUUCCAAUGGCUUAAGGCUUUUUCCUGAUGCACUUCUCUGCUCUGCCUGGAGAAUGGCGAUGAAGUGACAUCUCCAUGGAAACAGAUGUUGAUCCCACAGUUGCUUAGCGAUGUGCUGCAGGACGAUGUCCAGGGUGCAUCCCACCUCCUCCAGGAAGCCCUCCCUGACCGCUGCCACCCAGGCUCAUCUGCAGCACUUCCUGGCUGUAGCCCUUGUUUUCUUCUCUGUGAACAGUGACCCAUGAUGCAUACUUUGCAUAAACACGUCUGUCCGGUGCCUGGUGCAUGCCUCCAUUCCCUAACAGGACAUAUGUAUAUGGCAAAAUUUGGCUUCAGCUCAAUGUUUAACACGUGGCCAUUCUACCUUUGGCCGAGCCUCCUCCUGAACCAUCGUUGUGGAGCCAAUUACUGUGACCUUGUGGAGAUGGAAGCC